Molecule: ribosomal RNA, 406 nt
Filed under: uncultured bacterium
Lineage: Bacteria
Description: partial 16S ribosomal RNA
Rfam family: Bacterial small subunit ribosomal RNA
Source: RNAcentral
GAUGAACGCUAGCUACAGGCUUAACACAUGCAAGUCGAGGGACCGGCGCACGGGUGAGUAACACGUAUCCAACCUGCCCUUUACUCGGGGAUAGCCUUUCGAAAGAAAGAUUAAUACCCGACGUAAAGAAGGGGGAUGUGUUCCAUUAGGUUGUUGGGGAGGUAACGGCUCCCCACGCCUUCGAUGGUUAGGGGUUCGGAGUGGAGGGCUCCCCACAUUGGAACUGCGACACGACCGAAAAUCGUACGGGAGGCAGCAGUGAGGAAGAUUAGUGAAUGGGCGUUAGACUGAAGCAGCCAAGUAGCGUGAAGGAGGAAGGCUUUUUGGUCGUAAACUUCUUUUUUAUAAGAAUAUGUAUUAUAUGAAUAAGGAUCGGCUAACUCCGUGCCAGCCGCCGCGGUAAUAC